GACGCGAGUUAAAAAAAACUAUAUAAAUGACCGCUGUCUCUUCCCAUCCCUAAAGAAGACGAUCCGAGGCUUAACUAAAACACAUUUUUCGAGGCUGAGAAUAUUUUGCGUACCAGUUUGUGGCCGAGGCGUUAUUUUUCGGUUCAAGACUGAGUCAGUGGAGACUUGAAGAAGGCGACAGGAGGCAUAAUUCUGAGACGAAACGAUGGGCUGGAACGAUCCUGAACGCGGACGGGGCAACCACUCUCCCUGGUCGCAUUCAUCAGGGAACGAUCCUUCUCGAUAUCGAGAUUCCGAGUGCUGCGGCUGCUCCAACAAAUGUUGCUGUGUCAUAUUUACACUAUUCAUCGGCGCAGCAGUGGCUGGUGUGGUGCUGUUCCUGAAAUUCGGACUGCAGCUCUUCUAGAUUUACUACGCCUAUAACCCUACCGCGAAAGCAGCCCCAGUCACUGGAGGAUUCAUGGGGAGUUGUAGGCCCGAAGCAGACGCGUCAACCCCGGCCGGCUCUCGUAUAGUCGUACGCUUCAGAGAAUGUGCCGGCCAGACCCACGCGAUUGCGACUCGUCCCUCCACAAAGAAUAGAACAUUUCUCGUUGAUGAGACGCGAAUUAUGCUACGAACUUUCCAUGGGAAGGGUCGAACAGUAUUAAUAAUGUGUUGGUUUGUGGGAAAACAAAGGAUGCAAUGGCCAUGACACUGACCAACUAAAAUGGUUGUGUGACGAAAAUGUCCCUAACCUAGUACUAGUAGAAUUCAACACACUGUCUUAAUUUUAGUGUUAUUGUACUUCUUUUGAAGUUUACCUUGUUGGCUGGAGCCAAAGCGAUUCAAUCUCUUACAGUAUAGAUUCCGUUUCAUGUUAAAAUGUGUUGAUAAUCGACCACUCGAAGUUCGAGUUACAUACAAUGUUGACUAUACAUGUAUUGUACAUGUACGUGUGGCUGCAUGUAGUUUGUACACAGUCUAUAUAGUCGUACUGUCUGACUGUUAUAAUGAAUUGUGUUAAUUAUUUAUUAUGCUGGAGAAUUCAACAUGGCCGCUAUUAAGCACCUUGGAGAUUUAAUGAAAGUUUCUCAAAUCAUUUCUAGAAGACCGAGACCUUUAAAAAAAAGCAGUUUAUUAUAUUAUAAAGUGUUAUGAAUUACUACCGCUUGUUUUGAUGAAAUGUUUUUUUAUUUGAAGAGAUUUUGUAAGAAAAGAUUUCGUGAUUUUUUGGUAAACUUUCGUCGAGUAUGCUCAUUGAUAGUCAUUAUGAAUAUUCAUACUGUGACAUCACUGCAUAUUGGUUACUGAACUUUGUACUUAGAGUAUGUUUACACUUAUUCACGGUCUGCAAAAGAGAGUUUAAAGUUUAGAAGAUUGAUUUUAAGCCUUUUUACUGUGGGAGUGGUUAAACUAUAGAAGUGUGUGCGUAUUAUUGAUUUCCUGACAUGCAUGGUAGGCGCGCAUGUUGAUAUUUGUAGUUAAAGACAGUUUAACGCAUUGUCCAAAUUAUGACGCGCUUUUGUUAUUGUUUAAUUUUUUAGUUUAAUACAUCUUUAUUGGUAUACUAACAAUGAAAGAAGGAAACAGAUUAUGAAAUAAGCCAAUGAAAUAAAUACAAAGUAAGCAAGAAUUCGUAUCAAUGUACAUGUACAAUUAAAGCAAAACACUGACAACGCCCAUACCAAAAGUCCAUGAUAAAGAAAUUAUAAAACAUGUAUGCAGAAACUUAAAACGUUAUUUGCUUGUGGUUAAUACUGUACUGAUUCCGUAACAAUGCAUUAAUAUUCAAAUAAAUUCUCAUUAGAAAUGACAAACUUG
Patiria miniata (bat star) is the source of this 1803-nucleotide long non-coding RNA. RefSeq lists it as uncharacterized. The record is from RefSeq and is a predicted model, not a curated record. The transcript has 2 exons. NCBI's taxonomy places the organism in Eukaryota, Metazoa, Echinodermata, Asteroidea, Valvatida, Asterinidae.